GACGAACGCUGGCGGCGUGCCUAAUACAUGCAAGUAGAACGCAGUUGCGGACGGGUGAGUAACGCGUAGGUAACUUGCCGCAUGGCGGGGGAUAACUAUUGGAAACGAUAGCUAAUACCGCAUAUUGUGAGAUGGACCUGCGAUGUAUUAGCUAGUUGGUGAGGGAAAGGCGCGCCCAGGCGGAGAUACAUAGCCGGCCUGAGAGGGUGGACGGCCAAACGUGGACUGGGACACGGGCCCGAACUCUAACGGAGGGAGCAGUAGGGAAAUUUUGGAAAUGGACGGAAGUCUGACCGAGGAACGCCGCGUGGGAGAAGAAGGUUUUCGGGGUGGAAAGCUCUGUUGUUAGAGAAGCGGUACCUAAACAGAAAGGGACGGCUAACUACGUGCCAGCAGCCGCGGUAAUUC
RNAcentral lists this ribosomal RNA (408 nucleotides) under uncultured bacterium. RNAcentral's name for it is "partial 16S ribosomal RNA". It matches the Rfam family "Bacterial small subunit ribosomal RNA", at positions 28 to 526 of the family's 1533-position model. The record is from RNAcentral.